This 216-nucleotide ribosomal RNA is filed under the name Campeiostachys nutans. RNAcentral describes it as "Elymus nutans partial small subunit ribosomal RNA". The stretch from base 44 to 216 matches the Rfam family "Eukaryotic small subunit ribosomal RNA", at positions 690 to 864 of the family's 1831-position model. The record is from RNAcentral. Lineage: Eukaryota; Viridiplantae; Streptophyta; Magnoliopsida; Poales; Poaceae.
GGGUUAGUAGGUUGGUCAUGCCUCCGGUAUGUACUGGUCUCACUGAUUCCUCCUUCCUGAUGAGCCGUAAUGCCAUUAAUUUGGUGUUGCGGGGAAUUUGGACUGUUACUUUGAGAAAAUUAGAGUGUUCAAAGCAGGCAAACGCCCGAAUACAUUAGCAUGGAAUAAUGAAAUAGGACGUUCGAUCCUAUUUUGUUAGUUUCUAGGAUUGACGUA